RNAcentral lists this ribosomal RNA (334 nucleotides) under uncultured eukaryote. Its description in RNAcentral is "partial 18S ribosomal RNA". It matches the Rfam family "Eukaryotic small subunit ribosomal RNA", at positions 1470 to 1796 of the family's 1831-position model. The record is from RNAcentral.
CCCUUAGAUGUCCUGGGCCGCGCGCGCGCUACACUGAGUGUCUGAGAUAUGAGGCAUGCCUGGUCCGGCGAGGUCUAGGUAAUCACGAAAAGGCACAUCAUGCUUGGGAUUGAUUAUUGCAAAUUUUAAUCAUGAACGAGGAAUUCCUAGUAAGUGCAAGUCAACAGCUUGCGUUGAUUACGUCCCUGCCCUUUGUACACACCGCCCGUCGCUACUACCGAUUGGAUGGUUUAGCGAGAGCCUUGGAUUGGAGCCCAGGUGGUCGGCAACGGCCGCUCGGGAUGCCGAGAAAUUGCUCCAGCUGACUCAUCUAGAGGAAGUAAAAGUCGUAACA